This is a long non-coding RNA of Nothobranchius furzeri (turquoise killifish), 5366 nucleotides long. The record is from Ensembl. Lineage: Eukaryota; Metazoa; Chordata; Actinopteri; Cyprinodontiformes; Nothobranchiidae.
AUAUGGCUUAAGAUGUCUGUGGACUCUGAAAACUCAUGUGUUCUGCUGUCAUCACGUGACUCCAGGACUUCCUGCAUCUUUCAGACAGCAGACGAGAAGGAAGAGCUCCCAGGAGUGGGAGAGGAGAGCGUUCUGGAGAUGCUGAGUUACUCCAAGUUCUCAGACCUGGAGACAUGGCUGUGCAUGCCGUCCUCUCUGCUUCUGUCCAGACCGCUGGACUCCAUCCUCAUGUGCUCAUCUUCCUCCACCCUGUCCUCUUCACUUGCAUCCAACCUCUCCUCUACCUCGCUUCCCAUGUCCUCCUCUUCCUCUCCGACCCUCGACUCCCGCUUCUCCACCUGCAGCGAACCGGGAGAGCUCGGCACACUCCUCAGGUCAUCAGAGCAAGAGUCCACCUGCCUCACACCCGCUUUAGGAAAGGAGGUGACCUUUCUGUCCACACCGCUGCUGCCCGUUCUCUCCUCCACACCUGCUGCUGCUUCAGAGCCAAGCUCACAGCCGCCAACAGGAGACUCCGCCUCCCACAGUGGCGUCAGCAUCAGGAAACGACGGCGGCUUGCUGCCAGCCCUGGAGGACUCCACUGGAACUCUACAGGUUCAGUGCUGCGGGACUUCUGGUCACCUGAUCUGCCUCCAGGGAUGGCAGCCGGAGGUGGAGCCAGAGAACCAGGUGGAGGGGGAAGGAGCCUCCCUCUGAGCGAGAUGGGCAGAGGAACACCUGUGUGGGCAACAGGUGAACGGGUGGCUCUGAGGAAGACUGUGUCUGCUGACGAUGAGCUGCUGCGGCUGGCUGGUGGAGGUCCAAGACUGCUGAACCGAGCCGAGCAGAACCGAAAGAAGCUGCGCGGCAUCCAUAGCCUGGGAACAACAGGAAGAUACGACAGCAGAAAAAAUGACGAAGGCUGAUGUGGAUGGCCACUGCUGCACAUGCGCCUCAAACGUAAAGCGGCGGCUGAGCAGAGGCAAGAAGCAACUGCCGAACGUACCGCAGCAGGCAAGAUUAACAGAUGUUCAUAAAGGCUGUGUGCUGAGCCCCCUCCUGUUCACUCUGCUGACAUAUGACUGCUUGGCGAGACAUCCCAGCUGCCAUAUUGUGAAGUUUGCGGAGGACACAACAGUAGUAGGACGCAUCACUGACAACGAUUAGUCGAGUACAGAGAGGAGGUAGAACAUCUGGUGCAGUGGUGCAGAGAAAAUAAUCUCUGCAUCAAUGGGAAGAAAAUCAAGGAGAUGGUGGUGGACUUCAGAAGGAACCGGUGCCCCCUCCCCCCCUCUACAUCGGAGGAGUAGCUGUGGAAGUUGUCUCCUGCUAUAGGUACCUGGGUGUGCAUAUCACUGAGGACCUCAAAUGGAGCUCAUCAGGAAAGCUCACCAGCGUGUCUACUUCCUUAGGAAGCUGUGGCAAGCUGGACUUGGGAGCUCAGUCCUGAGGCGCUUUUACCAUGGUGCAGUGGAGAGUGUCAUGUGCACCUGCAUCACUGUGUGGCACAGUAGCUGCACUGUCACUGAGAGGAAAGCUCUGCAGAGUGUGGCUAGGGCUUCCCAGUUGCUUGUGGGGAGCGGCCUCCCUGAAAUCACAGACAUCUACACAACACAGUGUAGGGCCCUCAACAUCCAUCGGCAGGAGGUUGAGGAGCAUCCGGAGCAGGACCACCAGGUUCUGAAACGGCUUCUUCCCUGAAGCUGUCAGACUGUUUAAACUCUGGUCAUGCUCGGUAGAGCUCCCCUCCCCCUACAUACACAUACACACAUCGGUACUGAGAGCACCUUUAGAGUGGACUAAUUUCACUUGCACACACACAUUUAUCAUAUUUUGUCAUCUAUGGAAUACUGUACAUGCCAAGCUCGGUACUUGUUUUUAUCCUUAGUGCUUUUUGCUCUUUUUCUAUGGCUUUAUACCGGGUCCUGAGUUCAAAUUUCGUAUAACAAGCAUGUAAAUGUGAAUUGGUAUGACAAUAAAACUUUCUUAAUCUUAAUCUUCUUAAAAGAAAUGACGCGUUGAUUAAUAAAUGAAUAGGCGACAAUUUUAUGUGUCGAUAUAGUUGUGACGAGUCGACUAACCGUGGCAGACCUACUCUCAACAAGAUUUUCCUUCAACAGAAAUGCUUUGUUAGAACAGCUACUAGAUCAGAAGCAAGAGCAGCUUCAGCCUCUUUCAGAGACUAAACAUUUAUCAAGUGAACAUUUCUCAUGUGUCUUCAUUUAUAAAAAAUUUAACUGACGGACAAAUACACAAACUGUUUAAUAUGUACUUGAAUGUAAAUUCAUCUAUUCGCUCAUAUAAUACGCAAUAGAGCUCCGGGAGUUGACGUCACGUCUCCCGGCAUGCAACAGUUCAAAUCGAACGGCGCCAUCUUGGCAGGCAGUAGAUAGGCUAUUUGUUAUUGUCAGAAAACUCAGGCUAUUUGUUAUUGUCAGAAAACUCAAUCAAACGGAAAAUAUGGUAGAUUCCUGUUCUGCCCCAGGAUGCCAGAACAGACUCGGACGAGAUAAGGGAAGAACCUUCUGCAGGAUUCUCCAAGAUCCUGAACGCAGCAAACGGAUCAUCGCAAUGAAACACGGUAGCCUUCUGGCUAAAAUGAAACUGUGGGAUCCCGAGAGUAAAGGUUUUCGCUUAUGCAGCGACCACUUCAUAUCAGGUACUUAAACCAAUGUUUCCUCAACUGUGUAUGGUGUUUAUUUCAAAUGCUUUUAUUACGAUUCUUAGUGGGCUUCCUAAACUUAUUUUGGCGUGACUUUUUCUGUCUUAUUAUUCAUAGCAACAAGUAAAUGUCACGUAAAACGUUGCCUCGUGAUUUCUGCGUGCUGCCGUUCACGUGUUUUAUGAUCACAGCAAUUUACCAGCUAAGCUGUAUUUAAUUUUUAAGCAAUGGUUGAUCAAUUGUCAGAUCACACAUAAAAAGAACUUUGGAUUGCUAUUAUCUGUCUCACUGAUGCAGAUCUCAGACAGAUCCUGAGACGCUCCUGCCUGACAUAUUUAUUUUAUUCACUGGAAAAAAUCAGACCAGUGAUUUCUCUUGGCGUUCAGUUAAUACAUUCAAACAGCACAGCACUCUAUUUAAACUUCUUACAUGUAAAGCUGUUAUUUGUGUUUUGUACAAGGAAAUUAUAAAUGUCAGAGCAUCUCAAAUCCGGUAAGACAUUCGAUCCGACAGCUUCUGGCAUUUUAAAAAGUAUCCCAGGGGCACGGUAAGGGUCAGAGAUGUUUAGUCUAUUUAAUUUCUGACUAUAGAAAAGGAUUUCUUCGGUUUUAAAGUGUGAAGUAAACUCCGACGGAGUAAAAUCUAAGCUGAUCCCGUUCAUUUUGUUUACCUUUGUUGCCUGCCAACAUGGCGUCUACUCUCUGAGUGUCACGUGACGUCUGGAGCUCUAUAGUCAAUGGAUCUCCAUCCCUUGUCUACAUCAAUUCUCUAUCCGUUUUAGGGAUACAGUAGUCUGGAAUCAUUUUUCCUAUCUGGCAAGCCAGUGUUCUACAGUUGAUACUUCUAAAAAAACGUUUAAAAUUUCAUUUCACUGAAGGUGGGCAUUAAUUGUUCAUUAUUUAGCAAAUUAGACUGUAUUUUAUUAUUGUCUUAAUUUUUUGUUAUCAAUGAUUUUAUGAUUUUUAUGUCAAUGUUUUGUUUGAGGCUUCAGGUAAGCCUCACUUGCUUUUCUUCCUCCAGCACUGUAAUUUAUUGGCCUUAUACUAUUUAUUAUAUCGUUGUUUUUUCUAUUGUGCAAAUAAAUAAAUUAUGAACAAUCUAUAAUGAGCACACAAGUCCAAUAACAAAGCACAGCUUCUUGUGAACUAAACAAAUAUAUUUAGUCUUUCAAAACAGUUACUGAUCUUAAUGUUGGAAAAGUUUGAUCCGCUGGACCAGAGAACCUCAAGGAUUUUAAAGUGUUAUCAGAUGAUUUCAGGGAGGCCUGGGAUGAGUGUUCAAGGUGAAGGUGGUGUCUGCAUUUCAGAACAAGGUUGAUCUAAAAGGAGAUCUGUUGCUUCUUUUAAACAAAACCCAUGUCUAUAGUGUUCCUCAGUUUAAACAAAGCGUUCGGCUGUGUCUAUUAGAGGUAAUCUGAAGUUGGUUAAGUUUUUAUUAUCAUCCUUGAUGGAUUGUUGUUUUCUGCUCAAAUCAUGUGAUGGUACAUUUGAGGGCUAAGUGACUGCCGGGCUUGCCGCCGUCCCUGCAGCGCCGAUCUGCUUCGACUGUCAGAGCGGGCCGGCAGGAAGCCACCGAUGCAGCAUCUGUGUGAUUGAUUCUAGUCAUUUCCUUUCUGUAGCAUUCCCUCUGAGGAAAACUCCCACAUACUCGUAACCUCUUCCACACACUGUAUGCUCCAUUAAAGCUGUGUGUGCACAGCUAAACUACAGAGUCGUGACUAGUCAAACGAAUGCCCGAGUUAAUCAAACAACUAGAGAGGAGGAGCUGACAGGUUGUCUCCAACAAUCUGAGUCAACAUCAAAGAGAUCUGGACCUGCUGCUGGUUCACACCAACAGAAAAGAUCAGAACCUUCUAAUGGGGGACAUUAUGGAAAUCUGACAUUUUGCAUCCCUUUGUGCCUUCAUGUGCCUCUAUUAAUACUCCAAAUGAAAUGAAAUAAAAACUAUCCAUCCGUUUUCUGUCAGGAACUAAAUGGCUUUAACAAGCCAUUUCACCAGGAGGGCUCCUGCAUGGUGCUUGACCCUUCAUACCCAUGGACUGUUCACACCCCUCCCACACGUCUGGUCUAUAAAUUUUGACCUCACUGCUCCCCAUGAGGAUCGGUCAAAUGUGGAGGACAAUUUUUACCACACCACACUAGUGUGUGUGUCAACUAUACACUGUAAAAAAAAAUAACUGUCAAGUUUACGGUAAAAUACCGGCCACAGUGGUUGCCAGGAAUAUACUGCGAAAAAAAUGUGUAAUCUGUAAAUGAAAAUAAGGCACCGUAAAUCCUCUAAUAUUAGCCUGUAUUUAAUUAACUGCCGGGUAUCAUAUUUUGGCCGGUGUUGGUGUCGGAGUCGGCGGAGGUGAAUAAUGGCCGGUUUUUUAUUGUGGCCGGGUGGAAUGUGGCAACAAGCCAGUACGGGGGGCGGUUGUGUCAUCCGUCUCACUUUUGAUUUGCCAGUGAUAGACCGCGAGGGUAACUUUAACCAUGCGGAGACGAAGAGGAGGCGAAAAUUUGAUAUCAAGUUCAAAGAGAACGUGCUGAUUAUGCUGCAGAACACUCUGGGGAGCAGUAGCAGGGGUUGUAUGAACUAGUCACUAGUCGACUUCACCGCUCUAUAGUGACUUUUUAUGCCUGUCAUCGACUAGUCGCUGUCACGUGAUAAUGACCGGCAAGAUGCAGUCCACGGAAAAGACAGCAGCCUGCUGUCAGCAGGUGACAAGCUCCUGCGCGUCGG